Molecule: long non-coding RNA, 528 nt
Organism: Chiroxiphia lanceolata (lance-tailed manakin)
Lineage: Eukaryota; Metazoa; Chordata; Aves; Passeriformes; Pipridae
Exons: 3
Source: RefSeq, a predicted model, not a curated record
GAAGGCAGCGUUGUGAACAGGUAUUUUACAAAACCCAUCUGGUAUCAGCACCCUUUACUCAUGAAGAACCCCGUGGCUUGACCAAGAGCAGGGUCCUUCCAGCCCAACCUCUGUGUCUGCUGCUGCCUAAGCACAUCAGGGCUGAGGUGUAAGCAGAGCUGUCUUCCCAGAUCUACAGAAGAUCCCUUAGCCUUACUUCCCAAUUUGAUAAUAUCUCCCUCACUGAGGAUUAUGGCUGUCAAACCAAAGGUGGUGUAACAUUUCCUGUUACCUGAUCUUGCCUGGUGAUAUUUUCUCAUGUCCUGCAAAGGAACCCUUGUGGAGAAGAAGGUUGCAUAAAAAGCAAUCUACAGAGCCAGAAAUGUGGCAAAGCCCAGAGUCAAGCAAACACACCACUGAUAACUGCAUCUCUGGAAAGAGGUGCUACAAGUCUGAAGAAGAAAGGUGUUCAAAGAAGCUGGAAGGAAUGGGAGAAGGGACACACAGAGGGCCAACUUUCUCACAACAGCUGUCUUGGAGCUCCACUGA